GAUGAACGCUGGCGGCGUGCCUAAUACAUGCAAGUCGAGCGAACGGACGAGAAGCUUGCUUCUCUGAUGUUAGCGGCGGACGGGUGAGUAACACGUGGAUAACCUACCUAUAAGACUGGGAUAACUUCGGGAAACCGGAGCUAAUACCGGAUGAUAUUUUGAACCGCAUGGUUCAAAAGUGAAAGACGGUCUUGCUGUCACUUAUAGAGGGAUCCGCGCUGCAUUAGCUAGUUGGUAAGGUAACGGCUUACCAAGGCAACGAUGCAUAGCCGACCUGAGAGGGUGAUAGGCGACACUGGAAGUGAGCCACGGUCCAGACUCCUACGGGAGGCAGCAGUAGGGAAUCUUCCGCAAUGGGGGAAAGCCUGACGGAGCAACGCCGCGUGAGUUAUGAAGGUCUUCGGAUCGUAAAACUCUGUUAUUAGGGAAGAACAUAUGUGUAAGUAACUGUGCACAUAUUGACGGUACCUAAUCAGAAAGCCACGGCUAACUACGUG
RNAcentral lists this ribosomal RNA (497 nucleotides) under uncultured bacterium. RNAcentral's name for it is "partial 16S ribosomal RNA". It matches the Rfam family "Bacterial small subunit ribosomal RNA", at positions 28 to 507 of the family's 1533-position model. The record is from RNAcentral.